AACACCUCAAAGCCUUUUUCUUUCUUGAAAAAAGUUUUGGACUUGAGCAAUCCCAACACUCUUUCUCCAAAGAGUGGCGGGUUGCUUGAAAUGCAGGUGCAGCUGGACAUUCUCCUGAGCUAAAAGCAUAUUCAUUUAGUCCCGUCAAACGGAUUAUUACUUUUGCUGCAGCUAAUAUAAAGGGAGUUUGACCAUUUUGGCUGACUGAUGCAGGAUUUCACAAGAGUAACUUUAAAACCUACUCUUGUUAA
RNAcentral lists this unclassified non-coding RNA (251 nucleotides) under uncultured Mortierellaceae. Its description in RNAcentral is "sequence contains ITS2". The record is from RNAcentral. RNAcentral also lists the same sequence under 1 other name. Lineage: Eukaryota; Fungi; Mortierellomycota; Mortierellomycetes; Mortierellales; Mortierellaceae.